Long non-coding RNA from Corticium candelabrum, 151 nucleotides. RefSeq lists it as uncharacterized. Lineage: Eukaryota; Metazoa; Porifera; Homoscleromorpha; Homosclerophorida; Plakinidae. The transcript has 3 exons. The record is from RefSeq and is a predicted model, not a curated record.
GAAACACGAGCAGUGUUAGCUGAGAUCAUACAUGUGAGCUUUCAUUAUGUAAAACGUGUGUGCAAGAUCUACUACCUCAAGAUGUGCGUACGUGAGUAUGUCUGACGAACAGGCUGCUGUUCUUGUUCUUGUUGACUGCUUGAUAAAUGGC